RNAcentral lists this unclassified non-coding RNA (384 nucleotides) under uncultured Glomus. RNAcentral's name for it is "SSU rRNA". It matches the Rfam family "Eukaryotic small subunit ribosomal RNA", at positions 569 to 959 of the family's 1831-position model. The record is from RNAcentral. Lineage: Eukaryota; Fungi; Glomeromycota; Glomeromycetes; Glomerales; Glomeraceae.
AGCAGCCGCGGUAAUUCCAGCUCCAAUAGCGUAUAUUAAAGUUGUUGCAGUUAAAAGCUCGUAGUUGAAUUUCGGGAUCAGUGGGUCGGUCGUGCCACUGGUAUGCACUGGCCCUACUGGUUCCUCCUUCUUGAAGAACUUGUAAUGCCAUUAAUUUGGUGUUGCAGGGAAACAGGACUGUUACUUUGAAAAAUUGAGUGUUUAAAGCAGGCAAUCGCUUGAAUACAUUAGCAUGGAGUAAUGAAAUAGGACGAUCGAUCCUAUUUUGUUGGUUUCUAGGAUUGACGUAAUGAUUAAUAGGGAUAGUUGGGGGCAUUAGUAUUCAAUUGUCAGAGGUGAAAUUCUUGGAUUUAUUGAAGACUAACUACUGCGAAAGCAUUUGCC